UGGAAGCAUGGCUGUCUGCACAGAGGGUC
This 29-nucleotide non-coding RNA is filed under the name Homo sapiens (human). Lineage: Eukaryota; Metazoa; Chordata; Mammalia; Primates; Hominidae. The record is from RNAcentral.